This 378-nucleotide ribosomal RNA is filed under the name uncultured bacterium. RNAcentral's name for it is "bacterial SSU rRNA". It matches the Rfam family "Bacterial small subunit ribosomal RNA", at positions 521 to 895 of the family's 1533-position model. The record is from RNAcentral.
UAAUACGGGGGGAGCAAGCGUUGUUCGGAUUUACUGGGCGUAAAGGGCGCGUAGGCGGCCAGCGCAAGUCAGUUGUGAAAUCUCCGGGCUUAACUCGGAACGGUCAACUGAUACUGCGCGGCUAGAGUGCAGAAGGGGCAACUGGAAUUCUCGGUGUAGCGGUGAAAUGCGUAGAUAUCGAGAGGAACACCUGCGGCGAAGGCGGGUUGCUGGGCUGACACUGACGCUGAGGCGCGAAAGCCAGGGGAGCGAACGGGAUUAGAUACCCCGGUAGUCCUGGCCUUAAACGAUGGAUGCUUGGUGUCUGGAGUUUUAUAGUCUCCGGGUGCCGUAGCUAACGCGUUAAGCAUCCCGCCUGGGGAGUACGGUCGCAAGACU